CGUCGAUGAAGAGUGCAGCUAACUGUGUGAAUUAAUGUGAACUGCAUACUGCUUUGAACAUCGACAUCUUGAACGCAUAUUGCGGCUACGAGUUAGCUCGUGGCCACGUUUGUUCGAGGGUUG
This 123-nucleotide ribosomal RNA is filed under the name Ankistromeces dunwichensis. RNAcentral's name for it is "partial 5.8S ribosomal RNA". It matches the Rfam family "5.8S ribosomal RNA", at positions 31 to 154 of the family's 154-position model. From Rfam's summary of the family: 5.8S ribosomal RNA (5.8S rRNA) is a component of the large subunit of the eukaryotic ribosome. It is transcribed by RNA polymerase I as part of the 45S precursor that also contains 18S and 28S rRNA. Functionally, it is thought that 5.8S rRNA may be involved in ribosome translocation. The record is from RNAcentral. Lineage: Eukaryota; Metazoa; Platyhelminthes; Trematoda; Strigeidida; Aporocotylidae. RNAcentral also lists the same sequence under 2 other names.